Molecule: long non-coding RNA, 1226 nt
Organism: Papaver somniferum (opium poppy)
Lineage: Eukaryota; Viridiplantae; Streptophyta; Magnoliopsida; Ranunculales; Papaveraceae
Exons: 3
Source: RefSeq, a predicted model, not a curated record
CAACACACCACCACCAGCACCAACACCACCACCACCACCGAAUCCCCUUCUCUUUUCUCUUCAUUACUGUUAUGACAGAAACCUGAACACAAAUCCGAAACCAGAUUUCAAAACAAUCACCACCUCUCAUGACGGUAGCUUCCAAUUUCAGUUUUCCACCGUUUUCAUCUUUAAUUAUAACACCACCACCACCACCAUUAUUAUCUUAUAGCACCGCCAUCACCAGUUAAUAGAUGGGUUAUAAAUGGAAAAUGGGUUUUUGUGUUGAGAGAGGGGGGAAGGCAAAAAUGGUGAUAUUAAUUGGAAUUAGCGGAACCCGAAUUAGGGAUUUCGUAACCCUCUGAGUCUCUGACCACCAUCGGAUAAGCUGAUUACCAGCUGCUGGUACAUGUUCGGCAGCAUCGGAAGAGUAAGUUUCAAACAGAGAUGCAUGAUUACAUGGACAUGUAAUAGCCUCAAAAUUGCGAUGCCGAGAAGAAGCAAGUGACAUAAGGAAAUCCAAUUUUAGCUGAAAAAGCUCUAGGAAAGUGCUUGUGAUGGUGAUGACAUAGUGGAUGAGUAUUCUUAUGAAACCUAUGAAGUAUUAUUGAUUUCGCCUCAUCCUUCGAAUUUGUUUUUAGCUGGCUAAAUUUCCCUCACUGAUUGCCAUAAUGACUUCUCUCAUCAAAUUAAGCUUCCAUCUGGAGCAAAAAAAAAUAUACCAAGUGGAUACCGUGCUAUGAUUGGCCAAGUUGCUGGUGGAGGCUGCAGGACUGAGAAGCCCAUGUUGAAAGCAGGAAACGCUUACCACGAAUGCAGAGUGAAGAGAAACUCCUGGCCCAAGGUUCGUGGUGUUGCUAUUGAAUCCAGUUGCAUCCUCACGGAGGAGGUAACCACCAGCAUAUUGGACAUGCCAGUAAUGUUCGUCAUGAUGCACCUCCUGGACAAAAGGUUGGUCUUAUUGCUGCUAGGAGAACUGGACGUCUUUGUGGACAGGCUGCUGCUAAGACAGAUAAAGCUUAACUUCUCCCCUGUUUUUCUGUUUAAGUUUGUUUGAAUCAAAACAUAAGUUCUUCCCUGUUUUUCCUAGUUCGACUCAUGAGAGGGACUGUGAGAGAAGGAUACUUUUGCUUAUCCUUGUCUUCAGAUAUUACUCAUUGGUGUGUAGAAUGAUCAGUUUCAAGUCUCUCUGUGAACUGCAAGUUUGUUGCUUGGGCAAUAUACUUAAUUUAACACCAGUUCGAUAA